Molecule: ribosomal RNA, 493 nt
Filed under: uncultured bacterium
Lineage: Bacteria
Description: partial 16S ribosomal RNA
Rfam family: Bacterial small subunit ribosomal RNA
Source: RNAcentral
AUUGAACGCUGGCGGCAUGCUUUACACAUGCAAGUCGAACGGUAACAGGUUAAGCUGACGAGUGGCGAACGGGUGAGUAAUGCAUCGGAACGUGCCCGGUCGUGGGGGAUAACGCAGCGAAAGUUGCGCUAAUACCGCAUACGACCUGAGGAUGAAAGCGGGGGACCGUAAGGCCUCGCGCGAUCGGAGCGGCCGAUGUCAGGUUAGGUAGUUGGUGGGGUAAAGGUCCACCAAGCCAACGAUCUGUAGCUGGUCUGAGAGGACGACCAGCCCCAGUGGGACUGAGACACGGCACAGACUCCUACGGGAUGCAGCAGUGGGGAAUUGUGGACAAUGGGCGAAAGCCUGAUCCAGCACUGCCGCGUGGAGGAAGAAGGCCUUCGGGUUGUAAACUGCUUUUGUACGGAGCGAAAAGGUCUCCUCUAAUACAGGGGGCUCAUGACGGUACCGUAAGAGUAAGCACCGGCUAACAACGUGCCAGCCGCCGCGGUAA